Long non-coding RNA from Myotis davidii, 1243 nucleotides. RefSeq lists it as uncharacterized. NCBI's taxonomy places the organism in Eukaryota, Metazoa, Chordata, Mammalia, Chiroptera, Vespertilionidae. The record is from RefSeq and is a predicted model, not a curated record. The transcript has 2 exons.
ACAUAAAGAAUAAUUUAUAAGUUAAAAGUUGCCCAUGCUUUUAGAUAAAAUGAAAACCUUUAUAAGCAAAACCACGAAAAAAACAGCUGUAAGGAGGCCAAGCCCAGCUCCUCAAGGAGCAUCAAAGGAGAGGAGGCAGAAGGCCAGGGAGGGCAACCGGUCAUCUGCACUUGAGGACUAAAUCACUCCCUUCUGAGUGUGGACUUUCUGGCGUAACAAGAGCUUUACAUAAAUGUCCUAAAGUCUCUCUGACCCUUACCCAGUGUUAUUCUGGACAAGUUUAGGGGUAACAUUGCUUCUCAGAUCUGACAGCAACGUUUUGCCUUUUAAUCAUUCUCAUCUCAUUUCCUUACACUGAAAUAUUCUCUAGCUGUUCACCUUGGUCAGGCAAUUUAACCAAAGUGCUGGAGCAGAUACUGGGUAGAGAAUGAACCUCUCCCGGACUCCACCGUUUGGAUGCUCUACUCACGUGUCUUAUUCUAAACCUAGAAAUCUCAUGGCAUUAGUUCAGAGACUGAAAACAGGAUGUGUGCGUCACUGAGCAGAAAAUUCAGGAAGGUUUCUCUGAGGAAGAGGUGCUCGGUCACCCACACAGAUACCCACUGUUUCUUGUGAGGUACAAGACAGCGGGCCUGCGGUGAAAGCAACACAUGGAGCAUCCACUGGGAAACCCCACGUUCCCCAGCCGCGUCCCAAGUAAAACAAGCUGGUAAAGACGCCAAAAUGAAGAGGGACGUGGAGCCAGGGCAGACCCACGUCUCGCCUUCGAAAACACUUUGAGACCAGAGCCAGAAUGUCCACACCCAUGGCUUCCUUAAAAGACGACUUUCAAGUUCAGAAUUAGCAAAACUCCACAGCCCCUCUCUACAUUAACACCUGUAAGUGCAUCAAUCGCCUUUGAUUUUCGGAGUUUAUUUAACUUCACUUUACUUCUCUUCUCUUUAAUCCCCCUCCUGUGUCUCCUACCAAGUCUGUGGGCUGUUAGGCUCAGACUAGUCAAGGCCUUCACAGGGAGGCUCACUGCGCACUGAGGCAGAGCACGGGCAACAGCAUUUGACACAACGGCUCACGACUCAGACUGUCAGAACCAACACCAUUCCCCGCGAGGGCAGUGGCACCUGUCACCACGUCACUGCCAGAGCCAAGGGGGUCUGCGGCUCUCUCCUCAUCCCUAGGCAGAUUUUUCCCCUUUGGGCAUGAAUUUGUGUUAUAUAUAAAAUUCUUUACAUAAAGGAAUCCUUAA